CUGCUAUGUCUGCAAACAAAAGAUUCCUUCAACUGAGGAAGGUAUAAAGUACAAUAAGCAUCCGUUCUGGAAAAAGAAAUACUGUCCUUGUCAUGACAAUGAUGGAACUGCCAAGUGUUGCAGCUGUGAAAGAUUAGAAGAGUCUUUUGGAACCAAGUAUGUAAUGCUUGCAGAUGGUCGAUGGCUGUGUCGUGAAUGUAUGGAAUACGCGGUUAUGGAUACUGAUGAAUGCCAUGAUUUACAUGUUGAAAUCCGAGAAUUCUUCGAAGGCUUGUUCUUGAAGGUUGAUAAAGAGUUCCCUCUUCUUCUGGUAGAGAAACAAGCGUUGAAUAAAGCUGAGGAAGAAGAGAAGA
Non-coding RNA from Camelina sativa (false flax), 353 nucleotides. The record is from RefSeq and is a predicted model, not a curated record. NCBI's taxonomy places the organism in Eukaryota, Viridiplantae, Streptophyta, Magnoliopsida, Brassicales, Brassicaceae.